RNAcentral lists this unclassified non-coding RNA (140 nucleotides) under soil metagenome. RNAcentral describes it as "partial internal transcribed spacer 1". The record is from RNAcentral.
CAUUCAGUAGCCCAGCUACUUGUUUACACCCUUGUUUUUUUGCGUACUUAUCGUUUCCUCGGCGGGCUUGCCUGCCGGUUGGACAACUUUAUAACCUUUUUUAAAUCUUCAAUCAGCGUCUGAAUAAUAUACAAUAAUUA